UACGAAGGGGGCUAGCGUUGCUCGGAAUUACUGGGCGUAAAGGGCGCGUAGGCGGAUAUUUAAGUUAGAGGUGAAAGCCCAGGGCUCAACCCUGGAAUAGCCUUUAAUACUGGAUAUCUUGAGUUCGGGAGAGGUGAGUGGAACUGCGAGUGUAGAGGUGAAAUUCGUAGAUAUUCGCAAGAACACCAGUGGCGAAGGCGGCUCACUGGCCGGUACUGACGCUGAGGUGCGAAAGCGUGGGGAGCAAACAGGGAG
This 255-nucleotide ribosomal RNA is filed under the name uncultured bacterium. RNAcentral's name for it is "partial 16S ribosomal RNA". It matches the Rfam family "Bacterial small subunit ribosomal RNA", at positions 524 to 779 of the family's 1533-position model. The record is from RNAcentral.